This 229-nucleotide long non-coding RNA is filed under the name Elaeis guineensis (African oil palm). RNAcentral describes it as "long non-coding RNA (EGUI_LNC041550)". Lineage: Eukaryota; Viridiplantae; Streptophyta; Magnoliopsida; Arecales; Arecaceae. The record is from RNAcentral.
UAUAUAUAUAUAUAUAUAGGGAGGGUUCAAAAGAUAUGGUGUACUAGUUUUGAAUCAGCUUAGAUUUGUUCUGGCUUGGAUUAGGAAUUUAGCGAUCCAAAAUCAAUCCAUAUUUUAAAAUGGGCAUGUUUUGAAUCCAAACCUAAUCUAAAUAACUUCGCUUUGAGUUAGACCAGAUUAACUUUGAAACUGUAGAAGAGAGUGACUCAAUAUAAUCCACCUGCAGCCC